UAGGGAAUCUUCGGCAAUGGGGGGAACCCUGACCGAGCAACGCCGCGUGAGUGAAGAAGGUUUUCGGAUCGUAAAGCUCUGUUGUUAAGGAAGAACGAGUGUGAGAAUGGAAAGUUCAUGCUGUGACGGUACUUAACCAGAAAGGGACGGCUAACUACGUGCCAGCAGCCGCGGUAAUACGUAGGUCCCGAGCGUUGUCCGGAUUUAUUGGGCGUAAAGCGAGCGCAGGCGGUUAGAAAAGUCUGAAGUGAAAGGCAGUGGCUCAACCAUUGUAGGCUUUGGAAACUGUUUAACUUGAGUGCAGAAGGGGAGAGUGGAAUUCCAUGUGUAGCGGUGAAAUGCGUAGAUAUAUGGAGGAACACCGGUGGCGAAAGCGGCUCGCUGGUCUGUAACUGACGCUGAGGCUCGAAAGCGUGGGGAGCGAACAGG
Molecule: ribosomal RNA, 429 nt
Filed under: Bacteroidota bacterium
Lineage: Bacteria; Pseudomonadati; Bacteroidota
Also listed under: 1 other name
Description: Bacteroidetes bacterium partial 16S ribosomal RNA
Rfam family: Bacterial small subunit ribosomal RNA
Source: RNAcentral